Molecule: ribosomal RNA, 497 nt
Filed under: uncultured bacterium
Lineage: Bacteria
Description: partial 16S ribosomal RNA
Rfam family: Bacterial small subunit ribosomal RNA
Source: RNAcentral
GAUGAACGCUGGCGGCGUGCCUAAUACAUGCAAGUCGAGCGAACAGACGAGGAGCUUGCUCCUCUGACGUUAGCGGCGGACGGGUGAGUAACACGUGGAUAACCUACCUAUAAGACUGGGAUAACUUCGGGAAACCGGAGCUAAUACCGGAUAAUAUAUUGAACCGCAUGGUUCAAUAGUGAAAGACGGUUUUGCUGUCACUUAUAGAUGGAUCCGCGCCGCAUUAGCUAGUUGGUAAGGUAACGGCUUACCAAGGCGACGAUGCGUCGCCGACCUGAGAGGGUGAUCGGCCACACUGGAACUGAGACACGGUCCAGACUCCUACGGGAGGCAGCAGUAGGGAAUCUUCCGCAAUGGGCGAAAGCCUGACGGAGCAACGCCGCGUGAGUGAUGAAGGUCUUCGGAUCGUAAAACUCUGUUAUUAGGGAAGAACAAAUGUGUAAGUAACUAUGCACGUCUUGACGGUACCUAAUCAGAAAGCCACGGCUAACUACGUG